This 1786-nucleotide long non-coding RNA is filed under the name Phascolarctos cinereus (koala). RNAcentral's name for it is "lncRNA (ENSPCIG00000031186.1)". Lineage: Eukaryota; Metazoa; Chordata; Mammalia; Diprotodontia; Phascolarctidae. The record is from RNAcentral.
GCCGCGCCGCGCCGGCGUCACCGGAGCCGAACGAGGUGGGGGGGAGGGGACAGCCAGACGGCCGCGGGGGUCCUGGACCCGCUCGUCUCUGCUCCCAGGAGAAGCGGCCGCAGAGAGCGAGAAGCCAAGGGGUUCGAGUGCGCUCUGAAGGGGCUAGGGCCGUGGCUAUCUCUGCCGCCCUGGACACCGCCGCACUCUCCGCCUUCCAGGCGCGUGCACGCGCGCUCCCGCCCGCUGCUGCCUCCGCCGCCACCUCCACCAUCACCACUACGCGCCCGCGCCGCCCCGGGCCCGGCGCGCGCAGCGCCCCCCGGCCCCGCCCCCCAGCCUCCCGCGCGAACGGGCCCCGCAACCCCGUCCUCCCCUCCUCUGCCCACCCCACCCAACUGGCUGGCCGCUCAAAGCCACCCGACCUCCCCGCUCCCCGCUUACCCGGCCAGCCUAAAUCGGCCGGCCUCCCCUUCCCCUAGUCAUCCACACCCACGCGUACAGAGGAGCCGGGGCCUCCCUCAAGCUGCGGCCUCGGCCUCCUCCCCGCGCGGCAGCUGGUGCCUCCCCGGCCCUACGGGGCUCACGCGCAAUUCACAGCCACAAGAUGUCCGCUCUGACGGAACUACUGCCAGCUGCCACGCUCCGCCCCUCCCCCCGCAGGGCCCCUUCACCGCCGCCGCGUAUCAGUCCGCCAACGCCGCCGUCGCGAGGACUGGACGAGGACGAAAAGGGCGGAGGGGAACGGUUCACUUCCUACUCUUCCUAAGCUGGGGACCACGGUUAGGGAUGCUCUUCCUUCUUCUAGCUCAAAAGGGGGAAAUGGAAUCUCGCGAGAAUCAUGUUGCUGGCUGGUCAUCCUGGAGGCUUGGCAUUUACGGGGCGGGGAGAGGUUAGGGGUCGUUGUCGUGAUGGAUACCCUUGGUUCUUUCUCCACCCCGCUCCCUCCCACUGCCCCGUACCCCAACUGUCGCGAGAGUUUAAUGGAGUAACUAGGAUGAACCCCUUGCCGGGAGCUAGCCGGAAGGAUUACGCAGACGGCCUAGAGAGGAAAUGGAAUUCCCCGGGGCGCGUGCACAUCUCUGGGUGAUGGUGAGCCCUCCUCCCAUGCGUCCAAUCAGAGAGGAGCGGAGGGAGGGGCCGGAGCGUGAUAGGACGUUGCGCAAUUAGACGGCACCUUCCUCGCAGGUACCCAGGCCGGUGGGUGCUGCCUUUGACAGUUCGGGAUGCCGGUGCCGCGGGGCCUCCGGUUAAUUUGAGGACUCGGGAGUGAGAUGCGCCUAAUUAAAAGAUCCCUUCAGGAUGCCCGUGGAAGAGCUCUUGGGUCGGUUGCCCCGGGUCAUCUCGGGGCAGGCCGCCUGGAUGUCGACCAGGGCCCCGGCCAAGGUUAAACGCAGGGUUCGACGCCCUGAAACGGGCUGUUCCUCGUUUUUCCAUUUAAAUGCAGAGGGCUGGAGAGAGUGAAACCCAGCAAAGUGACCUAGGAGGCAUUUUGGUAAUCGUGUUGAUCAAAAUACUAAUGCUGAUCGUAAAGUGUGAUAUAAGUUAAGGAAUCAUUUCCUGGUUGUCUUGGCUCAGUGUUUCCUACCCCUCUAAAGCAGGGGGAGGUCGUUUUGCUCUAAGUUGUAACUUAAAGACAUAGUUAGGGAACCCCAAUCUCCUAGACCUGGGAGAAGGCAGUCUUACAGCUUUUGAAUGUCAAAGGAACUUUGAGGCUGAUGGCAAGUUGACUGAUACCAUGUUUCUGUAAGUAUUUUUUUGGAAUAAAGUCUUCUCUCCAUCCCUAAUUUUUAAGGUU